GAUGAACGCUGGCGGCGUGCCUAAUACAUGCAAGUCGAGCGAACAGACGAGGAGCUUGCUCCUCUGACGUUAGCGGCGGACGGGUGAGUAACACGUGGAUCACCUCCCUAUAAGACUGGGAUAAAUUCGGGAAACCGGAGCUAAUACCGUAUAAUAUAUUGAACCGCAUGGUUCAAUAGUGAAAGACGGUUUUGCUGUAACUUAUAGAUGGAUCCGCGCCGCAUUAGCUAGUUGGUAAGGUAACGGCUUACCAAGGCAACGAUGCGUAGCCGACCUGAGAGGGUGAUCGGCCACACUGGAACUGAGACACGGUCCAGACUCCUACGGGAGGCAGCAGUAGGGAAUCUUCCGCAAUGGGCGAAAGCUUGACGGAGCAACGCCGCGUGAGUGAUGAAGGUCUUCGGAUCGUAAAACUCUGUUAUUAGGGAAGAACAAAUGUGUAAGUAACUAUGCACGUCUUGACGGUACCUAAUCAGAAAGCCACGGCUAACUACGUG
This 497-nucleotide ribosomal RNA is filed under the name uncultured bacterium. Its description in RNAcentral is "partial 16S ribosomal RNA". It matches the Rfam family "Bacterial small subunit ribosomal RNA", at positions 28 to 507 of the family's 1533-position model. The record is from RNAcentral.